UCCGGGAUUUACUUGGGCGUUAAAGCGCGUGUUAGGUGGUUUUUGUAAGUAAGGGCGGUGAAAGCUCCUUGGCUCAACUUGGGAGGAGGCCGUUCUAAACUGCAGAACUAGAGGAUGGUAGAAGGAAGGUGGAAAUACCAGGUGUAGCGGUGGAAUGCGCAGAUAUCUGGAGGAACAUCCAGUGGCGAAAGCGGCCUCCUGGAUCCAUUCCUUGACACUCAGACGCGAAAGCUAGGGUAGCAAACGGGAUUAGAGACCCCGGUAGUCCUAGCCCUAAACGAUGUAGACUAGACGUCGGUGGUGUAAUAGCUGUCGGUGUACAAGCUAACGCGAUAAGUCUACCGCCUGGGGACUACGGCCGCAAGGUUAAAACUCAAAGGAAUUGACGGGUCCCCGCACAAGCAGCGGAGCGUGUGGUUUAAUUCGUUGCUACACGAAGAACCUUACCUGGGUUUGACAUAGCAGUGGUAGGGAAGAGAAAUCGGACCGACCCUUCGGGGAGCUGUUACAGGUGUUGCAUGGCUGUCGUCAGCUCGUGUCGUGAGAUGUUCGGUUAAGUCCGCUACCGAGCGCAACCCGCGUUGUGUGUUAUAUGUGUCACACAAUACCGCCGGUAUUAAGCCGGAGGAAGGUGCGGAUGACGUCAAGUCAGCAUGACCUUUAUAUCCAGGGCUACACGCACCAUCCAAUGGCCAGUACACCACGUUGCCAAUCCGCGAGGCGGAGCCAUUCCUCUAAAGCUGUCCACAGUUCAGGGAGCAGUCUGCAUAUCUCCUGCAUGAAGUUGGAGUUGCUAGUAACCGCAGGUCAGC
This 812-nucleotide ribosomal RNA is filed under the name uncultured bacterium. RNAcentral's name for it is "bacterial SSU rRNA". It matches the Rfam family "Bacterial small subunit ribosomal RNA", at positions 543 to 1353 of the family's 1533-position model. The record is from RNAcentral.